RNAcentral lists this ribosomal RNA (309 nucleotides) under Actinopus sp. MY2873. Its description in RNAcentral is "partial 12S ribosomal RNA". The record is from RNAcentral. Lineage: Eukaryota; Metazoa; Arthropoda; Arachnida; Araneae; Actinopodidae.
GGGUAAUAUUUCCCAAAGAAACCCUCACUCCUUGACGGCCUUAAUUCUGUUUAGAGGAACUUGUGCCCAUCGACAUUACACGCUAAAUUUCACUUUCUUACCGUUUUUAUACCGCCGUCUAAAGAGUCUAUUUAAGAGUAUACUCAAAAAAACUAAUUUUAUCAAGUCAGGUCAAGGUGAAGCUAACAAGAAAGGCAUCAUGAGUUAUUUAUAAAAAAAAUUUAAGGCCUAAAUCUAAAGAUCUUAGUAAAAAAAGAUUUAACAGUAAUAUUUAGAUAGUAUCUUUUUAUGAACUUGUUUAUAAGGUGU